AAUGGCUGCAGUAAUUUGACUGUACAAAGGUAGCAUAAUCAUUAGUUUUUUAAUUAAAAGCUUGUAUGAAAGGUUGGACGAAAUAAAAUCUGUCUCUUUUUAAUAAAAUUAGAAUUUAAUUUUUAAGUUAAAAAGCUUAAAUUUUUAUAAAAGACGAGAAGACCCUAUAGAGUUUUAUAAUUUUAAUUUUAUAAUUAAUUUAGAUUUAUUUAUUUUAUUUUAUUAAAAUUAUUUUAUUGGGGUAAUAGAAAGAUUAAAUAAAUUCUUUUUAAAAUUAAUCAUUAAUGUAUGAAAUUAUGAUCCAAAAAUUUUGAAUAUAAGAUUAAAUUACCUUAGGGAUAACAGCGUAAUUUUUUUUUAGAGUUCUUAUCGAUAAAAAAGUUUGCGACCUCGAUGUUGGAUUAAAGAUUAAUUUAGGUGUAGAAGUUUAAAUUUUUGGUCUGUUCGACCAUUGAAUCUUUACAUGAUCUGAGUUCAAACCGGUGUAAGCCAGGUUGGUUUCUAUCUUUAUUAAAUUUUUAUAUUUUAGUACGAAAGGACCAAAUAUAAUGUAUAUUUUAAUACUUAACUAAUGAAUAU
This 579-nucleotide ribosomal RNA is filed under the name Trechus hummleri. RNAcentral describes it as "partial 16S ribosomal RNA". It matches the Rfam family "Bacterial large subunit ribosomal RNA", at positions 1926 to 2731 of the family's 2925-position model. The record is from RNAcentral. Lineage: Eukaryota; Metazoa; Arthropoda; Insecta; Coleoptera; Carabidae.